Molecule: long non-coding RNA, 2974 nt
Filed under: Rattus norvegicus (Norway rat)
Lineage: Eukaryota; Metazoa; Chordata; Mammalia; Rodentia; Muridae
Description: long non-coding RNA NONRATT023389
Source: RNAcentral
AGUAUAGAUAUCUCAAAUCUACUGUUGAGAAAAUAUUUUACAUAGGAAUUAAAUUCUUAACCAGUUUUUAACAGCGUAAAUUCAGAACACUCAGAGUUACCGUUUGUCUGCUUUUGUUUCCUGUCUGUUCUCUGUGCCGCCCUCUUUUCUCUUGUCCUAGUGUCUACACUUGGGCAGCUGCCGAUGGCCGCUCUGCCAACCUUGGCCUCCUGAGAAUAGUUAGAGCCAAGACCCUAAAGAAGCACAAAUGAGUCUGGAACUUGAGGGGGCAUAUAACACAGAAGCUCCUGAAAGAGAGAGAGAGAGAGAGAGAGAGAGAGAGAGAGAGAGAAAGGCCCAUUUCAACAGUGUUUGCAGAAGUGGAGGACCAGAGAUGCCCAAGUCUCUUCGUCCUAAAUUCUGUUUUUAUUGAUGCAUACAGCUGUAAAAUGAGCUUAAAUUUUGUUUCUUAUUCUGACAUGGCUAAGGAAACUUAAUAAUACUUCUAUAUUAGACUUACUGUUAUCGCGUCUCAGCCUUUUGACUAAGAUCAAGUGUAGACUUAUUGUUCUUCAAAAUUAAUACUCAAGACAGCCAAAUCAGUGAAACAAGACCAGUAAGGUGAAGCUCCAUGGCUGUCGUUUAACCUUGGCCAUUUUUUCCCUGUCCAUUUAAAUGGCCUAGAACUCCCACUCUUAGAGUUGGUUUGGCCACAUGCUCAACACUCAUGAGGUUUUAGGCACCAUGCACUUUUGCUCAUUUGGACCCCUUCCUUAGAGAAUUUAAAAUUAUGUUUUAUAAUUGUGUUUUAUAACAUGACAGUAUUCACAUUUUAAUUAAAAUAUUCUUUUAAUUUAAAAAUUGGGUUAUUUUUCCUAAUAAAAUUAAGUAAAACGUUUGUUACACACCCUUUAAAAUUCUGAGUCUAGAUUGUGCCUGUGUUCUGAGAGGGUUGUUGGAGAAUGCAGACAGUGUUCUCCCUCCCUUACCACCACUCCGUUAUUUAUUGCCACUCCAGCCAGGGGUACUGCAGCUCCUACUAUCACAGGCCUGCACAUCUGAACUUCAUUCUUUCCCAUCCUAGCCAGAACUCAGUAUGGCUUAGAUCAUUCAUGGGAGGUGGGGAGUGCAGCAGCUAGAAAUCAGUAGAUAGGAAUUUUACUUUGGUUCCUACUUUUACAGCCUGUGUCUCACCUUCCCUUUUCUCUCAAACCCUCAUAUUCAUCCAUUCUCACAGCCCAUGAGUCUAAGAGCUUUCUGUCAUUUGCUGAAAGUACUUAAGCAGGCCCAUUCAGGACAUCCCGCAGUUGUUUAUGGUUUAGCAUUGGCCCGGGCGUCUCCACAGAAUGUUCCUCCUCAGGCUGGGGUAGGUGAGGUCUGUGACAUGCAGACUGUAAGCACAUGCAGUCGCUUCAUUUCUCAGGACAGAGAAAAUGGCAGCCUUGGCUUUCCAGUGAAAGCCAUCUACUGCCCUUAGUCUGCCUUCCCCGGGUGUGUUGCCGAGUCCUGGCGGAAGGAGCUGGAGAAGCCGAUAGAACCUGUAUGCGCUCUGCUCUGGCUCUGCUCUGUUGCUGCCCUUAGUCUGCCUUCCCCAGGUGUGUUGCUGCCCUUAGUCUGCCUUCCCCGGCUGUGUUGCUGAGUCCUGGCGGAAGGAGCUGGAGAAGCGGAUAGAACCUGUAUGCGCUCUGCUCUGGCUCUGCUCUGGUGCCAGCAGAAGGCACCCACACACACUCACAGUUUGCCAGCAGACAUCCCAUGUGGGUUUCUUCUCAUCAGUAGGGGAAGUGGCCACCCAAAUUUCCCUUGUUCUUCUUUACCAGCCAGGCACUCAGUCUGGUGUCACGUGACGCGGCACAGAGGAAAGCCGCUUCUCAGAAGUCUGAGAAAAGCACACACAUUGUGAUGAACAUGUACUCUAUCAGCAUUAUCAAACUUAACAAAGAAACUUCAUCUCUAGAACUGCAUCUCAAGCUUCCUGUUUGUUAAUAUGCUCUUAUGACAAUAUAUUUUGUAAUGUAUCCAGAGAAAUCAGAAUAGUGUGAUAUCCUUAUUUCCUGACCUUUUCUGAAAAAGUUUUAUGCAUGCUUUCAUUUCCUAUAACUUUGCUUCUGGUAUCUCUUUUACCUUAUUAUUACCCCACCAAAUCAGAAGGAAAUAAAAGCAUCCAAGAGGAACUUAAAAGGUUCUAAAUGAAACUAAACUUUAAACCUGAAAUUAAUUCACAGCAUCCAGGUAACUUAUUUUUGUCCUUUGCUGAUUCUGUCAUAUAUUCAUGUGACUUCCUGGGGAAAUGCCUGGUUUGUUGUCUCGGAGGAUCCUAGUAGCUUUUGAAGAAUUUGUUAAAUACUUUCUCACAGUUCAUAUUUCCUGUUUUAUAUAAUAUCAUAAAAUUGAGACCUGAGUGGUGGUGCACACCUUUAAUCCCAGAACUCAGAGGCAGAGGCAGGAGGAUCUCUACAGUUUGAGGUUAGCCUGGAACAAGACUGCUUAGUAAGACCCUAUCUUAAAAAUCAACAAAAUGUCUGUUUCAGCAUGAGUUCUAAAAUUGUAAUUAGAUUUUAUUUAGCCUGAUUUAUGUAAAUAAGUCUUUUAUAUUGCCUUUAAAUGUAUAGAUUGGAGUUAACUUGCACAGUUGUAUUGUAUAUAAGAUAUUGCAUGACCAUUAAUGAACUUGUUGCUGUUUUCCCACAAUGUUAACAGUUUUGUGAAUUUUUCACUAUGCAUUUACAGUGUUCUAUAACAAUGACUUAAAACUAUUUUAUACAUUUAAACAUUACGUUAUAUUGUAUAUAUCUACUUAAAGAGUAUUGUAAAUGUCAGUGUUUAUAAAAUUAUGACUUUCCCCAAAAUAUAAACUCAUCUUUCCAAACUAACUUGUGACAUAUUACAAAUACCGAUUUUAAGCUUUGACAUAUUAUCUUGUAGUGAAAGCUAAGAAGAAACAUGCUGUCAAGUAAAUGUAAGCAAAAUUUGAAAAUAAAUUUGAUGUCUUUGU